Molecule: ribosomal RNA, 253 nt
Filed under: uncultured bacterium
Lineage: Bacteria
Description: partial 16S ribosomal RNA
Rfam family: Bacterial small subunit ribosomal RNA
Source: RNAcentral
UACAUGGGGUGCAAACGUUGCUCGGAAUUAUUGGGCGUAAAGCGCACGUAGGCGGUUUGUUAAGUCGGAUGUGAAAUCCCUCGGCUCAACUGAGGAAGUGCAUCCGAAACUGGCAAGCUUGAGUACGAAAGAGGGUCGCGGAAUUCCCGGUGUAGAGGUGAAAUUCGUAGAUAUCGAGAGGAACACCGGUGGCGAAGGCGGCGAUCUGGACGAUGACUGACGCUGAGACGCGAAAGCGUGGGGAGCAAACGGG